UACGAAGGGGGCUAGCGUUGCUCGGAAUUACUGGGCGUAAAGAGCUCGUAGGCGGUUUGUCGCGUCUGCUGUGAAAACCCGAGGCUCAACCUCGGGCCUGCAGUGGGUACGGGCAGACUAGAGUGCGGUAGGGGAGAUUGGAAUUCCUGGUGUAGCGGUGGAAUGCGCAGAUAUCAGGAGGAACACCGAUGGCGAAGGCAGAUCUCUGGGCCGUAACUGACGCUGAGGAGCGAAAGCAUGGGGAGCGAACAGG
RNAcentral lists this ribosomal RNA (253 nucleotides) under uncultured bacterium. RNAcentral describes it as "partial 16S ribosomal RNA". It matches the Rfam family "Bacterial small subunit ribosomal RNA", at positions 524 to 776 of the family's 1533-position model. The record is from RNAcentral.